Thalassophryne amazonica is the source of this 475-nucleotide long non-coding RNA. RefSeq lists it as uncharacterized. NCBI's taxonomy places the organism in Eukaryota, Metazoa, Chordata, Actinopteri, Batrachoidiformes, Batrachoididae. The transcript has 3 exons. The record is from RefSeq and is a predicted model, not a curated record.
UUUGUAUCAUCCCAAGAAAGCAAAACUCCAUCAGUAGUUCAAAGGAAGAGAAGCAAACAUUUUAUUUUGGUUUUUCCUUUUCUUUUUUCCAAACCCACAGGUUGGGAAUCACAAGCCUUUAACAACCAAACAGGAGGUUCACCGCGGCAACUGAAACAUCUGUUGACCUGUUUGAGAAAACAUUCUUUUGUUUACUGUAAGUACAAAGCUACAUUUAACAAUGAAUGCUAACUUUGUUUGUUUGUUCACGUUACGUUUGAGAACUGCCAACAGCAUGCUAGCUUGUGGCAACAAUGGUGCUAGCAAUGUUAGCCAUGACUGUUUCUGUUGUAACGAUCUCAAAUCAGCGACAUGAAUUCUCAGGUUACAUUAGUUAACCAAAAACAGGACAAAACAUUCAUUAAAUAUUAGAAAACCACAUCGUCUCAAGUCAUUUCAAACGGUAACUAAUCUGAGUUUGACCAUCAAAACGACA